GUUGUUAUGUAAGUUUUCAUCUUUGACUAAUUCUAAACCACAUUCUAAUUCAAAACGAGUAGCAGUCGUUUGAUCCAAUCGAUCCAUUAACAUAUUAAAUAAAAUAAAAUCCCAGAACUUGACAGGGUAACCUAAAUUUUCCAAAACUGAGAUAUUUUCCAAAAAAGUAUCCACUAAUAAUCGUAAAGGAGCAGAGGUAUCUAGCUGAGGAAUUCGAACAGUUGAUUGAAUAGAGAGCCAAUAUAGGGCCUUCACCAAACCAUUGCCUUCACAAAACCACUGUGGAAGUUGUCGAAAUGGCGGAGAGCUUGUCCUUACAGGAUCAAAUAAAGGUUUUGGUAAAUGAAGUGAAAGCAAUAAAAGAAAAAAACCAAUAAGGUAAGCGAUGAACAGUAUUCAUUUACCUGGGAAGAAAUUCCACCAUUUGAUCCGGCCCAUCAAAACAUUUCCGCCAAUAAAUAGCUUAGACUUUUCGAAUAAAAAGCAUAUUUUUGUCGUUGGGACGAUGUUAUUGUAAAACAUAUUUUAUUUUUAUCAUUUUAUUAUAUUAUAUAUUUUUUUAUUUUAUAUUUUAAUAUAUGUAUUCUGAUUUAAAACAAAA
Molecule: long non-coding RNA, 601 nt
Organism: Anthonomus grandis grandis
Lineage: Eukaryota; Metazoa; Arthropoda; Insecta; Coleoptera; Curculionidae
Exons: 2
Source: RefSeq, a predicted model, not a curated record